GAUGAACGCUGGCGGCGUGCCUAAUACAUGCAAGUCGAGCGAACAGACGAGGAGCUUGCUCCUCUGACGUUAGCGGCGGACGGGUGAGUAACACGUGGAUAACCUACCUAUAAGACUGGGAUAACUUCGGGAAACCGGAGCUAAUACCGGAUAAUAUAUUGAACCGCAUGGUUCAAUAGUGAAAGACGGUUUUGCUGUAACUUAUAGAUGGAUCCGCGCCGCAUUAGCUAGUUGGUAAGGUAACGGCUUACCAAGGCAACGAUGCGUAGCCGACCUGAGAGGGUGAUCGGCCACACUGGAACUGAGACACGGUCCAGACUCCUACGGGAGGCAGCAGUAGGGAACCUUCCGCAAUGGGCGAAAGCUUGACGGAGCAACGCCGCGUGAGUGAUGAAGGUCUUCGGAUCGUAAAACUCUGUUAUUAGGGGAGAACAAAUGUGUAAGUAACUGUGCACGUCUUGACGGUACCUAAUCAGAAAGCCACGGCUAACUACGUG
Molecule: ribosomal RNA, 497 nt
Filed under: uncultured bacterium
Lineage: Bacteria
Description: partial 16S ribosomal RNA
Rfam family: Bacterial small subunit ribosomal RNA
Source: RNAcentral